GCUCCCUACGGGACGCAGCAGUGAGGAAUAUUGAUCAAUGGGCGGAAGCCUGAGCCAGCCAAGUCGCGUGAGGGAAUAAGGCCCUACGGGUCGUAAACCUCUUUUGCCGGGGAGCAAGGGCGGGGACGUGUCCCGGCCCGGAGAGUACCCGGAGAAAAAGCAUCGGCUAACUCCGUGCCAGCAGCCGCGGUAAUACGUAGGGGGCUAGCGUUAUCCGGAAUUACUGGGCGUAAAGGGUGCGUAGGUGGUUUCUUAAGUCAGAGGUGAAAGGCUACGGCUCAACCGUAGUAAGCCUUUGAAACUGG
This 305-nucleotide ribosomal RNA is filed under the name uncultured bacterium. RNAcentral describes it as "bacterial SSU rRNA". It matches the Rfam family "Bacterial small subunit ribosomal RNA", at positions 334 to 636 of the family's 1533-position model. The record is from RNAcentral.